UGCAGAAUCCCGUGAACCAUCGAGUUUUUGAACGCAAGUUGCGCCCAAAGCCAUUAGGUUGAGGGCACGUCUGCCUGGGCGUCACAUAUCGUUGCCCUGUGCCCCAUGCCUAUUGACAGGCACCGUGCAGGGCGAAUGUUGGCUUCCCGUGAGCUUUCUUGUCUCACGGUUGGCUGAAAACUGAGUCCUUGGUAGGGUGUGUGCCAUGAUAGAUGGUGGUUGUGUGACCCACGAGACCGAUCAUGUGCAGCUCUACCAGAUUUGGCCUCUAUGACCCACUUGCGUCCUUGGAUGCUCAUGACGAGACCUCAGGUCAGGCGGGGCUACCCGCUGAAUUUAAGCAUAUCAAUAAGCGGAGGAAAAGAAACUAACUAGGAUUCCCUUAGUAACGGCGAGCGAACCGGGAAGAGCCCACCAUGAGAAUCGGUCGCCCUAGGCGUUCGA
Molecule: ribosomal RNA, 444 nt
Filed under: Onobrychis viciifolia (common sainfoin)
Lineage: Eukaryota; Viridiplantae; Streptophyta; Magnoliopsida; Fabales; Fabaceae
Description: eukaryotic LSU rRNA
Rfam family: Eukaryotic large subunit ribosomal RNA (bases 304-444)
Source: RNAcentral